CAAUUUCAAUGAUGACUGACAAUGUUUGGAAGUUGGAAUUGCGAUGCACUAGAGCACAUAGUAACAGAUGAGGAGCAUGGUCAUGAUCGUG
Molecule: long non-coding RNA, 91 nt
Organism: Neltuma alba
Lineage: Eukaryota; Viridiplantae; Streptophyta; Magnoliopsida; Fabales; Fabaceae
Exons: 3
Source: RefSeq, a predicted model, not a curated record